Molecule: long non-coding RNA, 1909 nt
Organism: Canis lupus familiaris (dog)
Lineage: Eukaryota; Metazoa; Chordata; Mammalia; Carnivora; Canidae
Exons: 3
Source: RefSeq, a predicted model, not a curated record
AAACAGACUCAUAUGCAUGGGAAUUGCCAUUUAUGCAAGAUUAGUCAUUACAUCAAGGUUGUAGUAGCAAAGUCUGGAAAGAACCUAAAAGAACAUUAAUACGGAGGUGACACGACAAAUCCUACUCACUCAUGCAAGUCUCAAAAAGAGAACCAACGGAAGUCCACCUUCAUGUGGAAAGGAUCCAAAUUUACCUCUACUUACUGCCACAGGACAAUCUGGAUCUACCAGUUUACUGUCAGAGUUAGGUCAGAGGAGUUUGGAUUUGAUGGAGGUCCCAAGGUGAUAAUAUACAAUAUUGAUGAUCUUAUGAUAAUAUUGAAAACCUAAGAACAAGCUAGGACUGACUUGAAUGUUAUCGUGACUCAUGUGAACAAGGAAGGGAGGUUAAUAAACCCAACAAAUAUCAAAGGACCCACCCAACCAAGCAACAUUCUUAAUCUGGUCAGGAGCCACCCAGGACAUUUCACAAGUGACUGAAAAAAAACUGCUGCUAUUUUUUACCCACCCCUAAGACCAAACAAGGAGUCCACAUUUCUUUGGUUUAUCUGAAUUUUGGAGAACACAUAUUCCUCACCUAGAAAUAUUGCUAGUUCCUGAAGACUUCCUGAGAGAAGGCUAUGUCUGAGAGAGGAAAUGAACAAAGGAAGCCACAUCUCAGUUAUAUAAAGGGAUAACUCUCAGUGCUUUUAAGCCCUAUGAUCCCAGCUCAGAUAUAAUUUCAGAGGUGUCUGCCACUGGACAUACAGACUGGAGCCUAUGGUGAAAGCCUGUAUCUGCCUCCCAAUGACAAUCAUUGAAUUUUGGACCUGAAAAUUCUACAUGCUGCUGCUUAAUACUCAGCAUUUGAGAGAUAAUUACUAGCUUGCUGUUGGGCAUUUGAGACUGCCUGUAUGGCUGAAGGACAUGAAAUAACCACGAAACCUGAGAUACCCAUAAUGUCUUGGGUGAUGUCAGAGAAAUGCUCUAAUAACGAAAAUAGGGCCCCAAGGAGUUCCAGAAAAAAAUGGCAACAGUUUCUACAGGAACAUGCUGUUAGGGGAAUUGAGGAGUCAUCCACCUGUAUGCAUAGGAGGUAGUCUUUUUUCCCAGACUUUGGAACCACCUCAGGAGCUGCCAAAACCUGUCACCACAUGAACAGUACCCUAUGAAUACCACUCAAUUGACUAACCAAGAACUGCUUGGUUUAUGAGACAGUUCCAAGGAGAAUGGAUAGUAUACUGUUUGCAAAGCUGCAAUAUUAAAACCAGCAGAAGGAAAGACCCUAAAGAACGUAAGAGUAAAUCAGCUCAAUUAGCUAAACUGGAUGCUCUUUUCAUAGCAGUAAUGGAAGACUUGAAUAAAGGUAAAAUCCUUGAGUUUUUACCAAUUCAUGGGCAGGAGCCAGUGCUGGUCAGGUAAAUAAACAGUGGAAAAGUGGACUGUUAAAGGGAUGCCUAUGUAAAGUACAGCCUUCUAGAAAUUGCUGUGGAAAUUUAAGGGAUGUGUCAAAGGAAUACAUGUUGAUGCCCAUCAGAAGAAUUCUUUCCCAUAUUCGAAAGAUGAUUGGGAACCCCCAAAUGGACCUUCUGAUGCUCUCCCUUGAAGUGACUAUCUGGGUCCUUGGAUUGAGAGGGAAUGGCAGUGCUAUAGCAGGCAGAGGUGAGCUGAAUCUACAUAUUCCUCUUACAUCUUCUGAGUCACAAAACACCAAGAACUGUUCUGUCUGCCAACAAGUGAGGCUGCAAAUGGCUAUGGGGAAAACUCCCCAGGAGAAAGGCCCCACCCAUAGCUGAGCAUAUUGCCAUGUGGCUCCAUGCUACACCAGGUGGAUGGAUGGAUGGAUUUCUCUGCUUUGAAAGAAGAGCUAAUUAGAAGUCAUUUCUAAUUAACUCCAUACACAAGAGGUACAAAUUUCCAGUUAUAAAAU